RNAcentral lists this long non-coding RNA (1513 nucleotides) under Salvator merianae (Argentine black and white tegu). RNAcentral describes it as "lncRNA (ENSSMRG00000018221.1)". Lineage: Eukaryota; Metazoa; Chordata; Lepidosauria; Squamata; Teiidae. The record is from RNAcentral.
CAGAACCUCACCCAGAAGAUGCCAUGAAGAUCAGUUGUGACUCAGACAGCGGAACGAACAGGGUGGCAAAGGAGGCACAAGGCUUGGGUUGGUGAUUUGCCUUUGAUUUUUCCAGAUUACAGUUACAUCUACACCUGAUCAAAAUGCAGUUGAGAGGGAGCAGAGGUGAGGCGCUAAGAAAUGAGCACAUGCAUGAUGAUUACCUGUCACGAUGGCUGAACUUUUAGAGCUGGUAAAUGCCGUCGUAUUCCUGGCACCACUGGAGUCUAUGAAAAAUGUACUGUGGCUGCCUCCAGACGUCACUUAUCUAUUCUGCUAUUUUUGGAUAUUCCAGAACCAAACCCUCCCAGGAUUAUUUUACUUUGACGAGACGUGGUCAACAUUCCGUGUUUUAGCAUGUCACACAGCGACGCAGUACCUUAAAUAUGAGAUACUGGGUCCAUAUCCCAGGACUGUAUGGGGAGCACUGUGAUCACGUCUGGCAAAUCAAAUGUUAUUCUGCAAUAAGUAUGGGGUUUCGACCCUGUCUGGAUGCAGCCUGUAUCUGAAAAGAAGCCCUGCUGAAUGCCAGAAAUAAGUAUAUGGAUGUGCUGUCCUUCGCAUACUUGGCUGACAUUCAGUCAGCCACUGUCCACACUGGCCAAUUAGGCAAGAAUCAGGAAACACGUGCCUGGGGAGCAGGUCCUGUCCUUGAUGUUUUGGACUUCUUUCACAUCAGAGGUACAUGUUGAAGCCACAGAGGUGUCAUCCACUUCAGUGCCGCUGUAGUAAUAGUCAGCGAAGGGAGGGGGCAUAAAAUCAACAUCAGUUGAAAAAACAAAGGAAGAUGCCAGUAAUGCUGGGUAAAGUCCAGGACUGUAUGGCCUUUGAAAGGUUUCUUCAGUGACCAAAUGGGAAGAUGAGGCCAAUGCAACACUCACAAACACAGUUUUGUCCCUGGNGCUGGAGGACCUGCUCAUCUUGAGGUUCUUCCUGACCACUGCGGUUGGAGGAGAGAAGAGGACAAUGNCAGAAACGGCUUCUCAGAACUUGGCUGUUGUUCUUUCUCCCCCAACUCUUGGUCUCUGAACAUUCCGGAUGCUGCAGCCAAGCUAAAAGAAUACGAAGAAUCUGACUCUUGUGAACUUGACGAGAAGCUCUUAGGAGCAGAGUCAUCAUAAACAGUUGAUUCAUUAUGUCCUUAACCACAGGUUUUUAUGUCAUUCGGAAAAUAGCCCUUUCAGCAACAUCUUGCUCCGCUCACAAUAUUGGGAGGAUGUUUCUCAGCCGCUGCUAUCUACUGGAGUGACGGAUGGGUCCCCACCCCCCUUCCCCUGGGAGAGGACACUGGGACCUGGCCUGACCCUGGUUAACUAAGGGAGCUGGCAUGAUCACAGCCCGAGGUGGCAAGAGGAAAGCCAUUAAUCAGUGCCUCUUUUCCUCCAAAGAUUUAGCUGUCUUCAACUGCAGAGAAACAAGGCUGGAAACAUUAGGGCCAUUUUUUAAAAAAUAAAAGUGAAGUAGGAGAGGAGCA